GAUGAACGCUGGCGGCGUGCCUAAUACAUGCAAGUCGAGCGAACGGACGAGAAGCUUGCUUCUCUGAUGUUAGCGGCGGACGGGUGAGUAACACGUGGAUAACCUACCUAUAAGACUGGGAUAACUUCGGGAAACCGGAGCUAAUACCGGAUAAUAUUUUGAACCGCAUGGUUCAAAAGUGAAAGACGGUCUUGCUGUCACUUAUAGAUGGAUCCGCGCUGCAUUAGCUAGUUGGUAAGGUAACGGCUUACCAAGGCAACGAUGCAUAGCCGACCUGAGAGGGUGAUCGGCCACACUGGAACUGAGACACGGUCCAGACUCCUACGGGAGGCAGCAGUAGGGAAUCUUCCGCAAUGGGCGAAAGCCUGACGGAGCAACGCCGCGUGAGUGAUGAAGGUCUUCGGAUCGUAAAACUCUGUUAUUAGGGAAGAACAUAUGUGUAAGUAACUGUGCACAUCUUGACGGUACCUAAUCAGAAAGCCACGGCUAACUACGUGCCAGCAGCCGCGGUAAUACGUAGGUGGCAAGCGUUAUCCGGAAUUAUUGGGCGUAAAGCGCGCGUAGGCGGUUUUUUAAGUCUGAUGUGAAAGCCCACGGCUCAACCGUGGAGGGUCAUUGGAAACUGGAAAACUUGAGUGCAGAAGAGGAAAGUGGAAUUCCAUGUGUAGCGGUGAAAUGCGCAGAGAUAUGGAGGAACACCAGUGGCGAAGGCGACUUUCUGGUCUGUAACUGACGCUGAUGUGCGAAAGCGUGGGGAUCAAACAGGAUUAGAUACCCUGGUAGUCCACGCCGUAAACGAUGAGUGCUAAGUGUUAGGGGGUUUCCGCCCCUUAGUGCUGCAGCUAACGCAUUAAGCACUCCGCCUGGGGAGUACGACCGCAAGGUUGAAACUCAAAGGAAUUGACGGGGACCCGCACAAGCGGUGGAGCAUGUGGUUUAAUUCGAAGCAACGCGAAGAACCUUACCAAAUCUUGACAUCCUUUGACAACUCUAGAGAUAGAGCCUUCCCCUUCGGGGGACAAAGUGACAGGUGGUGCAUGGUUGUCGUCAGCUCGUGUCGUGAGAUGUUGGGUUAAGUCCCGCAACGAGCGCAACCCUUAAGCUUAGUUGCCAUCAUUAAGUUGGGCACUCUAAGUUGACUGCCGGUGACAAACCGGAGGAAGGUGGGGAUGACGUCAAAUCAUCAUGCCCCUUAUGAUUUGGGCUACACACGUGCUACAAUGGACAAUACAAAGGGUAGCGAAACCGCGAGGUCAAGCAAAUCCCAUAAAGUUGUUCUCAGCUCGGAUUGUAGUCUGCAACUCGACUACAUGAAGCUGGAAUCGCUAGUAAUCGUAGAUCAGCAUGCUACGGUGAAUACGUUCCCGGGUCU
Molecule: ribosomal RNA, 1372 nt
Filed under: uncultured bacterium
Lineage: Bacteria
Description: bacterial SSU rRNA
Rfam family: Bacterial small subunit ribosomal RNA
Source: RNAcentral